This 200-nucleotide unclassified non-coding RNA is filed under the name Annulohypoxylon sp. Its description in RNAcentral is "partial internal transcribed spacer 2". The record is from RNAcentral. Lineage: Eukaryota; Fungi; Ascomycota; Sordariomycetes; Xylariales; Hypoxylaceae.
UUAAGUUCAGCGGGUAUUCCUACCUAAUCCGAGGUCAACCACUAGAAAUAUAGGGGGUUUUACGGCAGGCAGCCGGGGCAACUACAGAAGCGAGAUAAGUUUACUACGCUUAGAGUGUGCUCCAACUCCGCCACUGACUUUGAGGAGCUACGCCGCAAGGGCGUAGGCUCCCAACGCUAAGCUACAGGGCUUAAUGGUCG